GGCCUCACUGUGUCUCCUAUAACCC
This 25-nucleotide non-coding RNA is filed under the name Cricetulus griseus (Chinese hamster). Lineage: Eukaryota; Metazoa; Chordata; Mammalia; Rodentia; Cricetidae. The record is from RNAcentral.